UACGGGGGGGGCAAGCGUUGUUCGGAAUUACUGGGCGUAAAGGGCUCGUAGGCGGCCAACUAAGUCAGACGUGAAAUCCCUCGGCUCAACCGGGGAACUGCGUCUGAUACUGGAUGGCUUGAAUCCGGGAGAGGGAUGCAGAAUUCCAGGUGUAGCGGUGAAAUGCGUAGAUAUCUGGAGGAAUACCGGUGGCGAAGGCGGCAUCCUGGACCGGCAUUGACGCUGAGGAGCGAAAGCUAGGGGAGCAAACGGG
RNAcentral lists this ribosomal RNA (253 nucleotides) under uncultured bacterium. Its description in RNAcentral is "partial 16S ribosomal RNA". It matches the Rfam family "Bacterial small subunit ribosomal RNA", at positions 524 to 776 of the family's 1533-position model. The record is from RNAcentral.